RNAcentral lists this small RNA (2518 nucleotides) under Pan troglodytes (chimpanzee). RNAcentral's name for it is "retained intron". Lineage: Eukaryota; Metazoa; Chordata; Mammalia; Primates; Hominidae. The record is from RNAcentral.
GAAUACCCGGCUAGGGACACGAGAGACAGGAAUCGGGGUUUCUGGGUGACGGUGAUCUCGGGGUGGGCAGGACUCCAAAGGCCCGUCGACCCGGUGGUGGACUCCUUGCACUGGGAUUGGACAUAUGCAAGCGGGAGAUUUGGGGCCGGCGCUCAAAAUCGGGGGGCGGGGGUGGACUCGGGUUUGGACCCCAGGAUCCGAUCAGCGGACCCCUGAUUCAACGUGAGGUCCCGAAUUGACGUCCUUCCCUCAAAACCUCCGGGUCUACAAACCAGGACCCUCAGGACCCUUCAGGGCUCCAGCGUGACAUGGCUGAAGCGCACCAGGCCGUGGGCUUCCGACCCUCGCUGACCUCGGACGGGGCUGAAGUGGAACUCAGUGCCCCUGUGCUGCAGGAGAUCUACCUCUCUGGCCUGCGCUCCUGGAAAAGGCAUCUCUCACGUUUCUGGAAUGACUUUCUCACCGGUGUGUCUCCUGCCAGCCCCCUCAGUUGGCUUUUCCUCUUCAGUGCCAUCCAGCUUGCCUGGUUCCUCCAGCUGGAUCCUUCCUUAGGACUGAUGGAGAAGAUCAAAGAGUUGCUGCCUGACUGGGGUGGACAACACCACGGGCUCCGGGGGGUCCUGGCAGCCGCGCUGUUUGCCUCGUGUUUGUGGGGAGCCCUGAUCUUCACACUGCACGUGGCCCUGAGGCUGCUUCUGUCCUACCACGGCUGGCUUCUUGAGCCCCACGGAGCCAUGUCCUCCCCCACCAAGACCUGGCUGUACCUGGAGUCGGUCCGGCCCGUCCUCUCAGACGAGGACUUCGACUGGACCGCGGUCCUGGCGCAGGAAUUCCUGAGGCUGCAGGCGUCGCUGCUGCAGUGGUACCUGCGGCUCAAGUCCUGGUGGGCGUCCAAUUAUGUCAGUGACUGGUGGGAGGAAUUUGUGUACCUGCGCUCCCGAAAUCCGCUGAUGGUGAACAGCAAUUAUUACAUGAUGGACUUCCUGUAUGUCACACCCACACCUCUGCAGGCAGCUCGCGCUGGGAAUGCCGUCCAUGCCCUCCUCCUGUACCGCCACCGCCUGAACCGCCAGGAGAUACCCCCGACUUUGCUGAUGGGAAUGCGCCCCUUAUGCUCUGCCCAGUACGAGAAGAUCUUCAACACCACGCGGAUUCCAGGGGUCCAAAAAGACUACAUCCGCCACCUCCAUGACAGCCAACACGUGGCUGUCUUCCACCGGGGCCGAUUCUUCCGCAUGGGGACCCACUCCCGAAACAGCCUGCUUUCCCCGAGGGCCCUGGAGCAGCAGUUUCAGAGAAUCCUGGAUGAUCCCUCACCGGCCUGCCCCCACGAGGAACAUCUGGCAGCUCUGACAGCUGCUCCCAGGGGCACGUGGGCCCAGGUGCGGACAUCCCUGAAGACCCAGGCAGCGGAGGCCCUGGAGGCGGUGGAAGGGGCCGCUUUCUUUGUGUCACUGGAUGCUGAGCCCGCGGGGCUCACCAGGGAGGACCCGGCAGCAUCGUUGGAUGCCUACGCCCAUGCUCUGCUGGCCGGCCGGGGCCAUGACCGCUGGUUUGACAAAUCCUUCACCCUAAUCGUCUUCUCUAACGGGAAGCUGGGCCUCAGCGUGGAGCACUCCUGGGCCGACUGCCCCAUCUCAGGACACAUGUGGGAGUUCACUCUGGCUACAGAAUGCUUUCAGCUGGGCUACUCAACAGACGGCCACUGCAAGGGGCACCCGGACCCCACACUACCCCAGCCCCAGCGGCUGCAAUGGGACCUUCCAGACCAGAUCCACUCCUCCAUCUCUCUAGCCCUGAGGGGAGCCAAGAUCUUGUCUGAAAAUGUCGACUGCCAUGUCGUUCCAUUCUCCCUAUUUGGCAAGAGCUUCAUCCGACGCUGCCACCUCUCUUCAGACAGCUUCAUCCAGAUCGCCUUGCAACUGGCCCACUUCCGGGUCAGUUGGGUUCCCCAUCCACAGCCCCCUCAGGGUCUCAGUCCACCUGAGCCCCCAAGACCUGCCCCUCCACGGUUCCUUGUGGUCGCUGCCAUUGUGGGUUGGCCAUCUUGAAUUCUCUCUCCCAACCAUUCUUGGGCUGGCUGGAGGAGGCUGGAGGUCUGGACAGAGAUAGGUCAAGUCUGUAAGAUUUCCUGAGCCCAGCUGACAGACUCCUCUUCUCCUCCCUGUCCCCCAGGACAGGGGUCAAUUCUGCCUGACUUAUGAGUCGGCCAUGACUCGCUUAUUCCUGGAAGGCCGGACGGAGACGGUGCGGUCUUGCACGAGGGAGGCCUGCAACUUUGUGAGGGCCAUGGAGGACAAAGAGAAGACGGUGGGUGCAGCCCUCGUUUGAGGCUUCAGUCACUUCUGUUUACUCACUCAUCCACUUGCAAACGUUGAUGGGACCUACUGAAGCCAGCCUCCACGAGGGGCACAAGGGACAAGGGAUGAAUCAGACCUGGCCUCUGACUUCAAAGAGCUCACUGAUGGGGGGAGACAGCCCAGCAUGGUGUGAUAUCUGCUUUCAUGGUGGUCUCACA